GAGUUUGAUUCUGGCUCAGGAUGAACGCUGGCGGCGUGCCUAACACAUGCAAGUCGAACGAAGCAUAUAGAAGGAAGUUUUCGGAUGGAAUUUUAUAUGACUUAGUGGCGGACGGGUGAGUAACGCGUGGAUAAUCUGCCUUACACAGCGGGAUAACAAGUGGAAACAGUUGCUAAUACCGCAUAAGCACACAGUAUCGCAUGAUACAGGGUGAAAAGAUUUAUCGGUGUAAGAUGAGUCCGCGUCCCAUUAGCUAGUUGGUGAGGUAAAAGCUUACCAAGGCGACGAUGGGUAGCCGGCCUGAGAGGGUGAACGGCCACAUUGGGACUGAGACACGGCCCAGACUCCUACGGGAGGCAGCAGUGGGGGAUAUUGCACAAUGGGCGAAAGCCUGAUGCAGCGACGCCGCGUGAAGGAUGAAGUAUUUCGGUAUGUAAACUUCUAUCAGCAGGGAAGAAAAUGACCGUACCUAUNGAGC
Molecule: ribosomal RNA, 478 nt
Filed under: Lachnospiraceae bacterium canine oral taxon 024
Lineage: Bacteria; Bacillati; Bacillota; Clostridia; Lachnospirales; Lachnospiraceae
Description: bacterial SSU rRNA
Rfam family: Bacterial small subunit ribosomal RNA
Source: RNAcentral